RNAcentral lists this ribosomal RNA (20 nucleotides) under Amphithalea ericifolia. RNAcentral's name for it is "partial 26S ribosomal RNA". Lineage: Eukaryota; Viridiplantae; Streptophyta; Magnoliopsida; Fabales; Fabaceae. The record is from RNAcentral.
UGGACCUCAGGUCAGGCGGG